UCCGCGUUUUGAGCUGUUAAACCUGAGCUGUCAUUAUGCCUCACGUUCUCUCUCCAUGGUGCCUUUUGAGAAUUUGAAUGGUGCGAGAUUUCUAUAAGAUCUUGGGGGUGCCGCGCAGUGCCUCUAUAAAGGACAUUAAGAAGGCCUACAGGAAGCUAGCCCUGCAGCUUCAUCCUGACAGGAAUCCUGACGAUCCCCAAGCCCAGGAGAAAUUCCAGGAUCUGGGUGCUGCUUAUGAAGUGCUGUCAGAUAGUGAGAAACGGAAACAGUAUGAUACUUACGGUGAGGAAGGAUUAAAAGAUGGUCAUCAGAGCUCCCAUGGAGACAUUUUUUCACACUUCUUUGGAGAUUUUGGUUUCAUGUUUGGAGGAACCCCUCGUCAACAAGACAGAAACAUUCCAAGAGGAAGUGAUAUUAUUGUAGAUCUAGAAGUCACUUUGGAAGAAGUGUAUGCAGGAAAUUUUGUGGAAGUAGUUAGAAACAAGCCUGUGGCCAGGCAGGCUCCUGGCAAACGGAAAUGUAACUGUCGGCAAGAGAUGCGGACCACUCAGCUGGGCCCUGGGCGCUUCCAGAUGACACAGGAAGUGGUCUGCGAUGAGUGCCCUAAUGUCAAACUAGUGAAUGAAGAACGAACGCUGGAAGUGGAAAUAGAGCCUGGAGUGAGAGAUGGCAUGGAGUACCCUUUCAUUGGAGAAGGUGAGCCUCACGUGGAUGGGGAACCCGGAGACUUAAGAUUCCGAAUCAAAGUUGUCAAGCACCGAAUAUUUGAAAGAAGAGGAGACGAUCUGUACACAAAUGUGACAGUCUCGCUGGUUGAGUCUCUGGUCGGGUUUGAGAUGGAUAUUAUUCAUUUGGAUGGUCACAAGGUACAUAUUUCCCGGGACAAGAUCACCAAGCCAGGAGCCAAGCUAUGGAAGAAAGGGGAAGGGCUCCCCAAUUUUGACAAUAACAAUAUCAAGGGCUCUUUGAUAAUCACUUUUGAUGUGGAUUUUCCAAAAGAGCAGUUAACAGAGGAAGCAAGAGAAGGUCCUCCUGUACCCCCGUCCCCCCAUUGGGGUUGUCUGGUCAAUAGCUUCUCCCUGGACUUACGAUUGAACCGUGGACAAAGGACACAUGGAUAUCAAGGUGACUUUGGACUUUCCAUUGCAUCACCGAGUGCAUCAACCUCCAACUGUUAGUUUUGGAUUUCCUACAAAGAGACCAUGCUGACACCCACUCUCUACGGUGCUUCAUUACACGAGGUCUGUUCGCUUAAACUGUCCUUGGUGGACCAUUUCCUUUCCCGACUCAUCCAUGAUACUACGAAAUUUCUUUUGGUUAAAUGUCAUAUUCCCUGUUUAUGACUCAAGCUGUAUACUAGCUAUUUAUAGUGAGGGGACAUGGUUUUCAAAGAGAGACCAAGUGACAUAGGGAUGAGGAGAGCACCUCACCCUUUUUCAGGGUCCCUGGGCAGCCUGUCCCUGGGCAUCGCUGCUCCCUGGCAUCACUGCCUGAUCUUCAACACAGCUGCCUAUCCCUGACCGUGCCUGUCCUGGGGCUUCACUUUCUUCUGUAAAGAACUGCUGCCCAACCCUGGAUCCUGUCACCUGCUCCAGGAACCUGCUGCUUACCCAGGAUCCCACUGCUUAACCUGAUCCUGCUGCUUACCCAGGAUUCUGCUGUUUACUGAGGAUCCCACUGCCACCCCUCUGUACACUGCCUGCUUUGGGGCUGCUGUCUGACCCUGGUCCUCACUUUCUCCCCAGAACACUGCUUCCUGCAACUAGAGAAUGAUGGCUACCACAAUGUCACUCCCUGCCCCUGGGCUCUGCUGUUUGCCGCUGGAGGUCACUUUCUUCAGCAGGGCACUCAAACCUGCCUCUGGGCACUGCUGCCCGACUCUAGACUCAUUGCCUGCCCCUAGAAACCCUUGUCUGUUCCUGGGCAUCAUCUUUUUAAGGCACUGCUACCUGCCUUUGGACGCUGCUGUCCACCUUGGACACGCCUGCCUGGCCCCAGACACCUCGCUUUUCUUCAAGCCACCAUUACCUCUGGACAAUGUCUCCCGCCUAUGGACACCACUGCCAGCCCCUGGACACCACUUCCUUCUUCGGGGCACUGUUCCUGCUGCAUGGCCAACACCAUCUGCCCCUGGUCCCUGCUGCCUGCCGUGGACAUGGCUGCCUGUCGCUGGGCACUGCUGGCACCACCCUAGCCGACCUUUCCUUUUCCUGCUCCUGUCCUGUGCAACCAUCAAGGCGGAGACACCCGAGCUUUUGGGGGACAGCACCUCUUCGGUUCUUACUAUAAGAGAACUCAGACGUUGCGCCAGGAGACAAAUCCAAGCGACCGACGCUGUGCUUUUCCAGUUGAUCCAGAGGCUCCAGCCCCAGCCCCCAUGCCCAGGAGAUGGGCUCUGCCCCCAGAGGUCCCCUACCCACCUGUCCCCAAAUCAGACGCCACAGGGCCAAGAGGGAGUCCAAGCCCCUGGGGCUGCACGAAACAUAGCUUUCUAUGCCGCUCUGUCCUGUUGAGUUAGGAGGGAGAGUUCAAGCUGGUAGAAACUGCAGGACAGAAGCAAGCAAAGGGCUGUUGCUUAAGGGACAGGUUAAUAUUUGUGUAAAUCAGGUGGACACACAACAAACCGUAUAUUGGCCUGUUCUUUACAACACCCUCCAUCACUUUGAACAUGGUAUCUGCGUCAUAUUCAUAGAAAUAAUAUUUAAAUGCGAAGUUCAGGAUAGGAAGGCUGGGGUGGAAAAUAUGAGAGUUUUAAAAGAACAAAUAUGGCGUUUUCAUUUUGUUUUCCAUCUCAUUGGAGUCGUCGCGGUCUGACUGUAGGUACAUUUGUGUGAGGACUUCUCUCAGUCAGAAGUGGGGCUGUGGCAGUGUGGGCAGAAGAUACAGACCCUGGUCAGAAUUCUACUUCUGCCCCUUGCCCGCGGUACAAAGGUGAUGCAGAAGUUGUGAUAUAAGGAACACGGAGGGAGCGAGUUAGGUGAUAAGGAUUCUCGGCUGAAGUUUUUCUUGGUCUGUGUUUGCUGUUAUUUGACCUACUUCUAAGUUUUUCAUUUUUUAUUUCAGUAGCCAUAUUUUCAGCUAAGAAUGUCUGCUUUUGUUCGGAUCCACCCUUCCCAUCCUCCUGGCUUUGGGAUUGGAUACCAUGCUUACUAUAUGAAUUGGGCAGACACCAGUGGAUGGCACUUACCGAGGACCAAGAAAGACCCUGAGGAAAAGGCUACUCUAGAAAGUGCAGCAGAACAUGGCACUGCCCUGACAGCCCAGACCCGAGCAGCUCAGCAAGCGUGCCAAGUUCACAGGAUUCUCACAGUUCAUUCCCUAAGCGUAGUCCGUACUUGUUCACCUCUUAACUUUGCCAACGUAGUUCUUCCAACGGGACAGUUUUUAUUUUCACUUGUAGAAAUCCUGCCCAUCUCCUUCAGGGUAGAGUCCAAAGUGCCCUCUUGUCCUGGUUUCCUCUCCCCUGCCUGCCCACAGCUGACCUUGGGUCUCCCCAUCUCCCGUGGGUUCCUGUAGCACCUGGGUCCUCUUAUGCCCUACCUGAGGUUAACAGGAUCAGCUAUAUGACUCUUGUGGGCCUGUGCAAAACAGAAACCUAGCUCCCCUAGUUAAAAAGAAUUAGUAAGAAUUUCAGGUCGGGGGAUUUAGCUCAGUGGUGCCGCUACCUUCCUUGCAAGCACAAGGUCCUGAGUUCAAUCCUUGGUGCCAAACAAACAAAAAAAGAAAUUCAAGACAGUGGUAGCAGAGUAUUCCAGGGAGCAAAGGCUCUUCUAGGUGUGUCCUGUGUGGGAUGCAUUCCUGAAAAGCCAGCCUCCAUGACUGCACUCCACUCAUAGGCUCCAAGGGGAAACAGAGUCCCACUAAGCAAGCAUGGUCUCUGAAAUGCCUGUUCAAAUCUCCUCCCCGGAAGCUCCUGAACUUCUCUCCUCCCCUUCCUGAACCUGGUUCCAGGGCUCCAAUGUCUGGCUUUCUAGCAUACUGGAGACUCCGCAUCCUGAGCCCCCACCAGCCAUUCUGACCUAUGCUUACAGCCCUCAGCCUUGAGCCCUGUCUUAUUUCCUGGGAUUAGCCAUACAAGCAACACAGAAAGAUCUAUUGUUUUUCUUUUUUUUCCCCCAAGAAUACUACUCUCUCCUUUUCUCCAUCUGGUUCCUCUGGUUGCCAGAAGUCGCUAGCACACAGCCUUGUCUUUGAUGCAGCAUUGGUUCGAAGAGAUGGGCGUACAAGCAUUUUACCUGUCACAUUUCUUCUAAGUAAGUGGUAACAUAGCUGCUCAUCAGAUGAAUGUCACGCGUACCACCAUAUUUAACGCACUUGAUAAUCCUUUGAAGUAUGUGCUACUACUGCUAUUCCCUUUACAGUGUUCGAGCAAGAACACCUGAAACAGAUUCCUGCCCUCUUAAGAUGUAUUCAAGAGACCAGACAACAAAAAGUACAGAAACACCGCCAG
Molecule: RNA transcript, 4450 nt
Organism: Fukomys damarensis (Damara mole-rat)
Lineage: Eukaryota; Metazoa; Chordata; Mammalia; Rodentia; Bathyergidae
Gene: Dnajb11
Gene name: DnaJ heat shock protein family (Hsp40) member B11
Exons: 11
Source: RefSeq, a predicted model, not a curated record